Molecule: ribosomal RNA, 330 nt
Filed under: Triticum aestivum (bread wheat)
Lineage: Eukaryota; Viridiplantae; Streptophyta; Magnoliopsida; Poales; Poaceae
Description: partial small subunit ribosomal RNA
Source: RNAcentral
AUGCCGGUGGCGAUGGGGUACCAUUACCUUGGUCCGGGGAAGGCCCAGCUCCAUCAGGCGAUGACGGUGUUGUCUCUGCAUCGUCACAGUCCUUGUUUGGCCGACCUCUAUUGGUUGGGCCAUCCUUGUCGUGAGGAUUCGGGCCACGUCCUGGCUUGGGGCAAUGUGGAUUUUUCACUGGCCCUACACCAUUGGAUUUAUGAUCACCACUCCCAUAGGAGGCCUUCCCAUUUCCACCCGCAGAGCCCUUGUCAUCAGCUUGGGAUACGUGGGCAGCAAGCACAAGAAUCAGGAGGGGAAGAACUACAACUAGCAGUGAUCUCAUCGUAG